Long non-coding RNA from Oncorhynchus tshawytscha (Chinook salmon), 1931 nucleotides. NCBI's taxonomy places the organism in Eukaryota, Metazoa, Chordata, Actinopteri, Salmoniformes, Salmonidae. The record is from Ensembl.
GUGAGUAAGAACUUUUAAACAGGUUAGCAAGUGUCCAGCUGGCAAGUGUCCUCACUGUCAUUUUCAACCUAUCCCUGACCCGGUCUGUAAUACCAACUUGUUUUAAGCUAGCCUCUGCCGAUUGCCCAAAGACCAGAUGUUCCAGUUUUCAAGUGAAAUGGAAAGUGAGCCUGUGACGUAACUUCCGCUUUUGGAUGUUUAUGAGAUGACACUCCAGCUUAACUCCUCCAUAUUUACUUGAGUGGUUGAACAGUGCAGAAGAGAACCUCCCCAAACAGAUUUUUCUUCAAGACCAGUAUGGAGGGGAUCUAGUUUCAGGCAUUUCUCUUAUGCCUGCUACAUUAGGUUAGUUUCAAACAGACCACCAUAGCCCCAGUGCCAGAGAACGCCAAGCUAACCUGCAUAAAUGUCUAACGUCCCUUAGCACUCACAUGUAUCGCUAUGAAAUGCUUUGAAAAGCUGGUCAUGGCUCAAAUCAACAAUUUAAUCCCAGACACCAUGAACCCAUUCCAAUUCGCAUACCACCCCAACAGAUCCACAAAUAACGCAAUCUCUUGCAAUCCACACUGCCCUCGCCCACCUGGACAAAAGGAAUACCUAUGUAAGAAUGCUGUUCAUUGACUACAGCUCAGCAUUUAACACCAUAGUCCCCUCCAAGCUCAGGACCCUGAGACUGAACACCUCCCUCUGCAAGUGGAUCCUGGACUUCCAGACGGGCCGUCCCCAGGCGAAAGAAGAUGGCGGAACGAAGAGAGGGCGGUGCAGCAGGUGCUGUUUCUCCUCCAGAUGCUGUUAUUUUAUCUAAAGAUUAGGUGUAUGCCAACCCCAGCUAACUAACUCUUGCAAAGAUUUAAAGCGCAAUUAUGUGUUUUAUCUCCAGUACAUUGCCACGAUUGUCAGCUAUGUAGCUGCUCUACUGAUAGUCUCAGCGCUUCCUUGCUGGGAUGACACAAUCAAUCUACUGUCGGGAAAUGCAAACUCCCCAGACAAACACCUGGGUUCACCAUUCCACACGAGCGGACAGUACACAUCAUACCAUAAUGUUCUGAAUAAUGGCCAACUCUACCUCGCUCCCUAUUCGACUGAAUCACUUGGGAGUAACAAACACAAGUCCAACACCUACCAGAAUCUGCUAAGCUACCUAUUCACUACCCUCCUGCUCUCUGGGGAGAUGCACCUCAACCCUGGGCCUAACACCACCGAACCAGAAAUACUCACCAGAGUGGAAAGCAGUGGAGGGCUGUGUCGUCAAAUCAUCGCCGCCACUGAGGUGGGUGAGUGUUAUGGUCCCAUGAUUUCUCUUGAGUCACCUGACUCCAAGAUGAAAUUUGACUCUACAAACAUAUCCAAGUCGCUAUACUCGAUCCCCGACUCUGCUUCUGGCACGCAAGCUGUUUUAAUUUGUUCCCCGCAUCCAAUGCAAGCGCAAGGGAUAGUUAAUUGCACUAACAAACUGCUCCUAUUCAAAACUAAACAAAACGGUCUAAACCCAGCAGUCAGAUAACACCAGUGUCUCACUCACGCUGGAGUCAUCUGGGACCCACAAGCUAAGCUCAAGGGGUACUAGAGGGGAACUUGAACAUUCACAGUGUCACUUCAAAAUGUGUUCACACAGAUUCCAACCUCGACUUCCUCAACCUUUCAGAGACACAGCUCCAUAAAAACUCUCCAUCUGCUGCUUUGAUUGUGAUUGGCUACAAUGUCUUCAGGAGAGACAGGAUUGAAGGAAGAGGAGGGGGUGUGAUGAUUUACAUUAAAGAACACAUCGAUGUAAACAAAUUGAGUGGUCAUGUGAUAAUGAACUAGAAUGUAUUGGCCUAAACGUUACACUGUCUCCCCAAAUGUCUUUUUACCCUCAUUGAAAUGUAUAGACCACCUUCCACCAAAAGUUUUUUUUAAACCAGUUUAAUAACAUACUUAGGAAAUUGGGA